AUUGAACGCUGGCGGCAGGCCUAACACAUGCAAGUCGAACGGUAACAGGAAACAGCUUGCUGUUUCGCUGACGAGUGGCGGACGGGUGAGUAAUGUCUGGGAAACUGCCUGAUGGAGGGGGAUAACUACUGGAAACGGUAGCUAAUACCGCAUAACGUCGCAAGACCAAAGAGGGGGACCCUCGGGCCUCUUGCCAUCGGAUGUGCCCAGAUGGGAUUAGCUUGUUGGUGGGGUAACGGCUCACCAAGGCGACGAUCCCUAGCUGGUCUGAGAGGAUGACCAGCCACACUGGAACUGAGACACGGUCCAGACUCCUACGGGAGGCAGCAGUGGGGAAUAUUGCACAAUAGGCGCAAGCCUGAUGCAGCCAUGCCGCGUGUAUGAAGAAGGCCUUCGGGUUGUAAAGUACUUUCAGCGGGGAGGAAGGGAGUAAAGUUAAUACCUUUGCUCAUUGACGUUACCCGCAGAAGAAGCACCGGCUAACUCCGUG
RNAcentral lists this ribosomal RNA (490 nucleotides) under uncultured bacterium. RNAcentral describes it as "partial 16S ribosomal RNA". It matches the Rfam family "Bacterial small subunit ribosomal RNA", at positions 30 to 507 of the family's 1533-position model. The record is from RNAcentral.